Molecule: long non-coding RNA, 537 nt
Filed under: Triticum aestivum (bread wheat)
Lineage: Eukaryota; Viridiplantae; Streptophyta; Magnoliopsida; Poales; Poaceae
Description: long non-coding RNA (TAES_LNC015538)
Source: RNAcentral
GCCAGACCACCUUGAGCACCACGGUCCGGAAGCCAAGAGCAUGAGCAGACCAAAAUCAGAAUGGAUUAACCAGGAAACCCUAGACAAAUCCCUAAAAAACAACAAAGCCCUUGAUGAGCACAAACACAUCACAAAGGGAAAGACAAACAAGGGAGCAAAUAAUCACCUCAGCCAUCUUAGAAGCCCACUCGGUGUGCUCCCUCUCCGGCCGACCCGCAAGACAGCCCCAACGCCACGCCACCGUCCCAACCGUGAAACAGCCAGAGAAGCAAGGAAGAUGGUAAGAAACAAGCGAAAUAAAAGGUAGUGGGCUCCAAUAUAAACAUUAACCAGCCUAAAGACGCUGUUAUUAGAAACAUGACACCGUGGUUUCUGCUGGUUUAUCAAGAAAUUAAAACAAGCCAUUGAACCGACAACUUGCUUACUCUUAACCAGAUGAAAUCAAGGACCAACAACAAACAAUAGAAGUCAAGAACAACUUAUAUGCAAUAAAGGUAUGAGAGAGAAGAAAUAUUCACAUAAGACGGCUAUAAACAC